RNAcentral lists this ribosomal RNA (1062 nucleotides) under Anguilla japonica (Japanese eel). Its description in RNAcentral is "partial 16S rRNA". It matches the Rfam family "Bacterial large subunit ribosomal RNA", at positions 829 to 2494 of the family's 2925-position model. Lineage: Eukaryota; Metazoa; Chordata; Actinopteri; Anguilliformes; Anguillidae. The record is from RNAcentral.
CCUACCGAGCCUAGUUAUAGCUGGUUGCUUAAGAAAUGAAUGUUAGUUCAGCCUUAUGUAAUUCUAUAACCAAAACUUAUUAACAAAAAGAACAAAAGCAAUACAUAAGAGUUAGUCAAAGGGGGUACAGCCCCUUUGAAACAGAACACAACCUUAUUUAGGAGGACAAGGAUCAUACCAUAAAAGGACAAAAUUACCUCAGUGGGCCCAAAAGCAGCCACCUGUAAAGAAAGCGUUAAAGCUCCGGUAAAUACAGACCAAUAAUAAAGACAAUACACUCCCCACCCCCUAAAAAUAUUAAGCUAUCCUAUGCACACAUAGGAGAAACAAUGCUAAAAUCAGUAAUAAGAGGGCCCAAGCCCUCUCCUAGCACAUGUGUAAGUCAGAACGGACCGACCACUGACAAUCAACGGACCCAAACAGAGAGAAAAAGAACAAACUACAAAAAACAAGAAAAAUCUAUUUAAUACCACAAACCGUUAACCCAACACAGGAGUGCCUAAAGGAAAGACUAAAAGGAGAAGAAGGAACUCGGCAAACACAAACCCCGCCUGUUUACCAAAAACAUCGCCUCUUGCUAACAAAGGAAGUACUAGAGGUCCCGCCUGCCCUGUGACCACAAAGUUUAACGGCCGCGGUAUCCUGACCGUGCGAAGGUAGCGUAAUCAUUUGUCUUUUAAAUAGAGACCUGUAUGAAUGGCAUAACGAGGGUUUAACUGUCUCCUUCCCCUAGUCAAUGAAAUUGAUCUGCCCGUGCAGAAGCGGACAUAAAUACAUAAGACGAGAAGACCCUAUGGAGCUUUAGACAAAAGAUCAAACAUGUAAAGAAACCAAGUUAACCAAAAGGAACACAAAGGCCACGAAACCCGACGUAAACUGAUCCAAAUGUCUUCGGUUGGGGCGACCAUGGGGGAGAAAAAAGCCCCCACGAGGAACAGGGACUAAUCCCUAAGCCAAGAGAGACAUCUCUAAGCAACAGAAAAUCUGACCAAAAGUGACCCAGAAUACUAAUUCUGAUCAACGAACCAAGUUACCCUAGGGAUAACAGCGCAAUCCUUUCCC